CUGCAGAUUCAGCAGCUGCUGGGAAUCCAGUUACUUCAAAUCCUGGGGAACAGUCACAUGUUUACCAACCAAUAGCAUCAGCCACAGAAAUGAUCAUCUCACCUGUUCCUGCCUCAGUUUCAGCCACAGAUUUGGUCCUUACGACUGGCAUCAUUCCGACCUCAGCAGAAGUGACUCCUUCACCUGCAUCUCUGAGUAUUGCUGUAACCACCUUGACAG
Bubalus bubalis (water buffalo) is the source of this 219-nucleotide long non-coding RNA. RefSeq lists it as uncharacterized. The transcript is spliced from 6 exons. NCBI's taxonomy places the organism in Eukaryota, Metazoa, Chordata, Mammalia, Artiodactyla, Bovidae. The record is from RefSeq and is a predicted model, not a curated record.